AUCGAGUGAAGCAACGUGGCGCCGCUGUAGAAACUUGUCAGUAGAACAAGUCGACCUAAUGUCCGACCAUGAAGGUGCCUUGUCCGUUCGCAGAUGCUGCACUUUGUCUCCGUCGCUUGGCUACCACGUAUUUACAAGUUGUUAACGACCAACGAUCCACCAAAAUUUGUUCGUUAUCUCCAUGAUCGACACGGUUCGAAGAGAUAAUGGUGUGGAGGGACGUGAGCAAACAAGGAAAGGAAGGACAAAAGGGAGGAAAACACGAAGACUCAGCAAACGAAGGAUAUCCAAGCGAACUUUGUUCACGCAGCAGACGCAAAUACAUUCUUGUGAUUGGGAGAGUGGCUGGCAAACGGGUAAAGUGGACAAUGUUAUGAGUUUUUAAGUCCGCAGGGAACUAUGCCGCAACUUCCCGACUGGUACAAGCAACGUUUAAAUACAUGAUACGAAGUUUGUUUCUGAAUCCUCGGACAUGGAGAUUAAGCACAAAGUUGCAGAAUUUGGAUGUUGUAACGAACAUUUGAUGGUAAAAUUUAUCCCUUAUCGAAGAACGAUGAAAAAAUUAUACAG
Molecule: unclassified non-coding RNA, 570 nt
Filed under: Bombus terrestris (buff-tailed bumblebee)
Lineage: Eukaryota; Metazoa; Arthropoda; Insecta; Hymenoptera; Apidae
Description: misc RNA ENSBTSG00005035736.1
Source: RNAcentral